RNAcentral lists this ribosomal RNA (583 nucleotides) under uncultured bacterium. Its description in RNAcentral is "bacterial SSU rRNA". It matches the Rfam family "Bacterial small subunit ribosomal RNA", at positions 338 to 911 of the family's 1533-position model. The record is from RNAcentral.
CCUACGGGAGGCAGCAGUAGGGAAUCUUCCGCAAUGGACGAAAGUCUGACGGAGCAACGCCGCGUGAGUGAUGAAGGCUUUCGGGUCGUAAAACUCUGUUGUUAGGGAAGAACAAGUGCUAGUUGAAUAAGCUGGCACCUUGACGGUACCUAACCAGAAAGCCACGGCUAACUACGUGCCAGCAGCCGCGGUAAUACGUAGGUGGCAAGCGUUAUCCGGAAUUAUUGGGCGUAAAGCGCGCGCAGGUGGUUUCUUAAGUCUGAUGUGAAAGCCCACGGCUCAACCGUGGAGGGUCAUUGGAAACUGGGAGACUUGAGUGCAGAAGAGGAAAGUGGAAUUCCAUGUGUAGCGGUGAAAUGCGUAGAGAUAUGGAGGAACACCAGUGGCGAAGGCGACUUUCUGGUCUGUAACUGACACUGAGUCGCGAAAGCGUGGGGAGCAAACAGGAUUAGAUACCCUGGUAGUCCACGCCGUAAACGAUGAGUGCUAAGUGUUAGAGGGUUUCCGCCCUUUAGUGCUGAAGUUAACGCAUUAAGCGCUCCGCCUGGGGAGUACGGCCGCAAGGCUGAAACUCAAAGGAAUU